AACGAACGUUAGCGGCGCGCUUAACACAUGCAAGUCGAGCGAGAAGGGGGCAACCCCAGUAAAGCGGCGCACGGGUGAGUAACACGUAGGUAAUUUACCUCGAGGUGGUGGAUAACCUUCCGAAAGGAGGGCUAAUACAGCAUGAGACCACGUCUUCGAAAGAGGAUGAGGUUAAAGCGGGCCUCUAUACAUAAGCUCGCGCCACGAGAUGAGCCUGCGGCCCAUCAUGGUAGUUGGUAGGGUAAUGGCCUACCAAGCCGAAGACGGGUAGCUGGUCUGAGAGGAUGAUCAGCCACACUGGAACUGAGACACGGUCCAGACUCCUACGGGAGGCAGCAGUGGGGAAUCUUGCGCAAUGGGCGAAAGCCUGACGCAGCGACGCCGCGUGAGUGAUGAAGGCCCUCGGGUUGUAAAGCUCUGUGGAGGGGGACGAAUAAGGGUUGGUGAAUAUCCAGCUCGAUGACGGUACCCCUUUAGCAAGCACCGGCUAACU
Molecule: ribosomal RNA, 493 nt
Filed under: uncultured bacterium
Lineage: Bacteria
Description: bacterial SSU rRNA
Rfam family: Bacterial small subunit ribosomal RNA
Source: RNAcentral